GAUGAACGCUGGCGGCGUGCCUAAUACAUGCAAGUCGAGCGAACAGACGAGGAGCUUGCUCCUCUGACGUUAGCGGCGGACGGGUGAGUAACACGUGGAUAACCUACCUAUAAGACUGGGAUAACUUCGGGAAACCGGAGCUAAUACCGGAUAAUAUAUUGAACCGCAUGGUUCAAUAGUGAAAGACGGUUUUGCUGUCACUUAUAGAUGGAUCCGCGCCGCAUUAGCUAGUUGGUAAGGUAACGGCUUACCAAGGCAACGAUGCGUAGCCGACCUGAGAGGGUGAUCGGCCACACUGGAACUGAGACACGGCCCAGACUCCUACGGGAGGCAGCAGUAGGGAAUCUUCCGCAAUGGGCGAAAGCCUGAGGGAGGACCGCCGGGUGGGUGAUGAAGGUCUUCGGUUCGGAAACCUCUUUUAUUAGGGAAGAAAAAAUGUGUAAGUAACUAUGCCCGUCUUGACGGUACCUAAUCAAAAAGCCCCGGCUAACUACGU
This 496-nucleotide ribosomal RNA is filed under the name uncultured bacterium. RNAcentral's name for it is "partial 16S ribosomal RNA". It matches the Rfam family "Bacterial small subunit ribosomal RNA", at positions 28 to 506 of the family's 1533-position model. The record is from RNAcentral.